RNAcentral lists this ribosomal RNA (163 nucleotides) under Nasturtium officinale. RNAcentral's name for it is "5.8S ribosomal RNA". It matches the Rfam family "5.8S ribosomal RNA". Rfam says of the family: 5.8S ribosomal RNA (5.8S rRNA) is a component of the large subunit of the eukaryotic ribosome. It is transcribed by RNA polymerase I as part of the 45S precursor that also contains 18S and 28S rRNA. The record is from RNAcentral. Lineage: Eukaryota; Viridiplantae; Streptophyta; Magnoliopsida; Brassicales; Brassicaceae.
AAAACGACUCUCGGCAACGGAUAUCUCGGCUCUCGCAUCGAUGAAGAACGUAGCGAAAUGCGAUACUUGGUGUGAAUUGCAGAAUCCCGUGAACCAUCGAGUCUUUGAACGCAAGUUGCGCCCCAAGCCUUCUGGCCGAGGGCACGUCUGCCUGGGUGUCACG